AAUAUUUGUAGUUCAUGUAUACACAUCAUGAUACAUAGAGAAAACGUGUAUAGAUUAAGUAAUAGACCAAUAUUUGUAGUUCAUGUAUACACAUCAUGAUACGUAGAGAAAACGUGUAUAGAUUAAGUAAUAGACCAAUAUUUGUAGUUCAUGUAUACACAUCAUGAUACGUAGAGAAAACUUGUAUAGAUUAAGUAAUAGACCAAUAUUUGUAGGCCAUGUAUACACAUCAUGGUACGUAGAGAAAUCAUUGGCAGAUUUAGUAAUCCUCCAACCAUUGUAGGUCAUGGAUUGUCAAGCCUGGUAACCACUGGUCGCUUUCCUACUAAAAUCUGUAUUAUACAGAUUGACUAUCGCAGGAAUAUUGGUUUUCUAAUGUCUGUCUGUUGGUGUAUCCGUCUGUAAGUCUGUUGAGAGAGAAUAGUAAAGUUUAUCAUAAAAUAAUAACCAAAAUAUUAACCAAUUAGGGCCUUAAUUAUGGACCUCAGUUUUAAGCUGAUCCUGAAUAUUUCGAGAAAAUGUGUGUUUGUUAACUUAAUAGAAGUUGGAUUGUUGAAUUUUUAUGCCCCCUGAUUGAUAGAUCGAGGGUAUAUUGUUUUUGGCGUGUCUUUCUGUUUGUCAUUCUGUCCCAAAACUUUAACCUUACAGUAAAGUUUUGCAAUAACUUUUGAAAUAUUGAACAUAGCAACUUCAUAUUUGGCAUGCAUGUGUAUCUCAUGGAGCUGGACAUUUUGAGUGGUGAAAGGUCAAGGUCAUCCUUCAAGGUCAAAGGUCAACAACAACAAAAAGCGGCGCAUUAGGGGGCAUUGUGUUUCUCACAAACACAACUCUUGUUCCCAAUAACAAGCUUUUUCUCUUGAUUUAUAAAAUAAAGCCAUUCAACCAAUUUCAUAUCUGUGU
Molecule: long non-coding RNA, 900 nt
Organism: Dreissena polymorpha
Lineage: Eukaryota; Metazoa; Mollusca; Bivalvia; Myida; Dreissenidae
Exons: 3
Source: RefSeq, a predicted model, not a curated record